RNAcentral lists this ribosomal RNA (253 nucleotides) under uncultured bacterium. RNAcentral describes it as "partial 16S ribosomal RNA". It matches the Rfam family "Bacterial small subunit ribosomal RNA", at positions 524 to 776 of the family's 1533-position model. The record is from RNAcentral.
UACGAAGGGGGCUAGCGUUAAUCGGAAUUACUGGGCGUAAAGCGCGCGUAGGCGGCUUUUCAAGUCGAUUGUGAAAUCCCCGGGCUUAACCUGGGAACUGCAGUCGAGACUGUCUAGCUAGAGUAUGGGAGAGGGAAGUGGAAUUUCAGGUGUAGCGGUGAAAUGCGUAGAUAUCUGAAGGAACAUCAGUGGCGAAAGCGACUUCCUGGACCAAUACUGACGCUCAUGUGCGAAAGCGUGGGGAGCAAACAGG